UACGUAGGGGGCAAGCGUUAUCCGGAUUUACUGGGUGUAAAGGGGGCGCAGACGGCGAUGCAAGCCAGGAGUGAAAGCCCGGGGCCCAACCCCGGGACUGCUCUUGGAACUGCGUGGCUGGAGUGCAGGAGGGGCAGGCGGAAUUCCUGGUGUAGCGGUGAAAUGCGUAGAUAUCAGGAGGAACACCGGUGGCGAAGGCGGCCUGCUGGACUGCAACUGACGUUGAGGUCCGAAAGCGUGGGGAGCAAACAGG
This 253-nucleotide ribosomal RNA is filed under the name uncultured bacterium. RNAcentral's name for it is "partial 16S ribosomal RNA". It matches the Rfam family "Bacterial small subunit ribosomal RNA", at positions 524 to 776 of the family's 1533-position model. The record is from RNAcentral.